CCCCGCGUGAUGAAACUGGUAGACGUGCUGGACUCAAAAUCCUGUGGAGAAAUCCGUGUUGGUUCGAAUCCGACCGCGGGGACCA
This 85-nucleotide transfer RNA is filed under the name Haploplasma axanthum. RNAcentral describes it as "Acholeplasma axanthum tRNA-Leu(caa)". It matches the Rfam family "tRNA". Rfam says of the family: Transfer RNA (tRNA) molecules are approximately 80 nucleotides in length. Their secondary structure includes four short double-helical elements and three loops (D, anti-codon, and T loops). The record is from RNAcentral. Lineage: Bacteria; Bacillati; Mycoplasmatota; Mollicutes; Acholeplasmatales; Acholeplasmataceae.